This 66-nucleotide small nucleolar RNA is filed under the name Danio rerio (zebrafish). RNAcentral's name for it is "small nucleolar RNA SNORD95". Lineage: Eukaryota; Metazoa; Chordata; Actinopteri; Cypriniformes; Danionidae. The record is from RNAcentral.
UGUUCAGUGAUGGAACUUAAUGCCUUCUGUAACUCUGUGAUGAUAAAAGAGGCUGUUUCUGAGAAC